Molecule: ribosomal RNA, 483 nt
Filed under: uncultured bacterium
Lineage: Bacteria
Description: partial 16S ribosomal RNA
Rfam family: Bacterial small subunit ribosomal RNA
Source: RNAcentral
ACUCAAAGGAAUUGACGGGGGCCCGCACAAGCAGCGGAGCGUGUGGUUUAAUUCGAUGCGACGCGAAGAACCUUACCAGGGCUUGACAUCCCGUGCUCAGGCGGGGAAACCCGCCGCCCGCGAGGGGAACGGGACAGGUGCUGCAUGGCUGUCGUCAGCUCGUGCCGUGAGGUGUUGGGUUAAGUCCCGCAACGAGCGCAACCCCCGCCGCUAGUUGGUUCUCUAGCGGGACGGCCGGGACCAACCCGGAGGAAGGUGGGGACGACGUCAAGUCAGCACGGCCCUGACGCCCUGGGCGACACACACGCUACAAUGGCCGGUACAGCGGGCGUCGCGAAGCCGCGAGGCGGAGCCAAUCCCUGCAAAGCCGGCCCCAGUACGGAUCGGGGGCUGCAACCCGCCCCCGUGAAGGCGGAGUUGCUAGUAACCGCGGGUCAGCACACCGCGGUGAAUACGUUCUCGGGCCUUGUACACACCGCCCGU